Molecule: ribosomal RNA, 469 nt
Filed under: uncultured eukaryote
Lineage: Eukaryota
Description: bacterial SSU rRNA
Rfam family: Eukaryotic small subunit ribosomal RNA
Source: RNAcentral
UAGUUGUUGCAGUUAAAAGCUCGUAGUUGGAUUUGUGGUUGGAAAGGUCCGCCGUUGCUAUGCUUCGUGUUGGAUUUUUCCGUCCAUCCUUGGGUGGAUCCUGUGCGGCAUUCAGUUGUCGUGCAGGGGAUGCCCAUCGUUUACUGUGAAAAAAUUAGAGUGUUUAAAGCAGGCUUAUGCCGUUGAAUAUAUUAGCAUGGAAUAAUAAGAUAGGACUUUGGAACUAUUUUGUUGGUUUGCGUUACAAAGUAAUGAUUAAUAGGGACAGUUGGGGGUAUUCGUAUUUCAUUGUCAGAGGUGAAAUUCUUGGAUUUCUGAAAGACGAACUACUGCGAAAGCAUUUACCAAGGAUGUUUUCAUUAAUCAAGAACGAAAGUUAGGGGAUCGAAGAUGAUUAGAUACCAUCGUAGUCUUAACCAUAAACUAUGCCGACUNGGGAUUGGAGGUCGUUCUUUUUAUGACUCCUUCA